AAUUUAUGUAAACUUGGAGAGCAAAAUCUUGCAAGAUUCCUUAGUCUUCGAGCAUUCCUUCCCACUUUGCGGAUGUUAGCAGUGCAGGAAGGCGCCCGGGAGGAGGGGCUGGUCCUCCGUGACUGCCUGUGGCCCUGGGGCUCUUCUCCAUUUCGUGUGAGUCUCAUCAUCUUCACAGGAGAAGAUUCUUCAACAGCUCCCAUUGCUUUACUCUUGUUCUUCAAGAUCAGAGCUUUGGUGACCCAGGACGUGCCUGACUCAGUGGAAAGAAGUGUCCCUGAUUUUACACCUUCCUCUGUCUCCAUCACUUCUAAUUUUGUUUCCAAGUCACUCACCACACAGGGCCUCUUACUGGCAACACUGACAAGGGACUUUUUACCCACAAGGUGAUGAUGAGUAGGCCAUGAGGCUACAUCAAGCACAAGACAAAAUGAUGAAAUCAAGAAAUGCAGUAAUCUGAGAGGCAUGAAGAUUAAAUGUUCGGCAAACUCCUAAACCACUAAAUAGUCAUUUAUUAUCUCAUGUGCUCUGCACUAUAAAUAACCAAAUGCGC
This 553-nucleotide long non-coding RNA is filed under the name Chinchilla lanigera (long-tailed chinchilla). Its description in RNAcentral is "lncRNA (ENSCLAG00000024373.1)". The record is from RNAcentral. Lineage: Eukaryota; Metazoa; Chordata; Mammalia; Rodentia; Chinchillidae.